RNAcentral lists this transfer RNA (72 nucleotides) under Camelus ferus (Wild Bactrian camel). It matches the Rfam family "tRNA". From Rfam's summary of the family: Transfer RNA (tRNA) molecules are approximately 80 nucleotides in length. The record is from Rfam by way of RNAcentral. Lineage: Eukaryota; Metazoa; Chordata; Mammalia; Artiodactyla; Camelidae.
GGGGGUAUAGCUCAGUGGUAGAAUGUGGGCUUGGCAUACACAACAUUCUGGGUUCAAUUCCUGGUACCGCCA